RNAcentral lists this ribosomal RNA (1280 nucleotides) under uncultured bacterium. RNAcentral describes it as "bacterial SSU rRNA". It matches the Rfam family "Bacterial small subunit ribosomal RNA", at positions 49 to 1360 of the family's 1533-position model. The record is from RNAcentral.
UAACACAUGCAAGUCGAACGAGAAAGCAUGGGCACUCUGUNGAGUAAGUGGCGUACGGGUGAGNUACACGUGGAUCAUCUACCUCUUUGUGGGGGAUACCCUGGGAAACCGGAGCUAAUACCGCAUAAGUCCGAGAGGAGAAAGCAGCAAUGCGCAGAGAGAGGAGUCCGCGGCCGAUUAGUUAGUUGGCAGGGUAAAGGCCUACCAAGACUGAGAUCGGUAGCCGGCCUGAGAGGGCACACGGCCACACUGGCACUGAAACACGGGCCAGACUCCUACGGGAGGCAGCAGUGGGGAAUCUUGCACAAUGGGGGCAACCCUGAUGCAGCGACGCCGCGUGAGCGAUGAAGCCCUUCGGGGUGUAAAGCUCUUUCGGCAGGGAAGAUUAUGACGGUACCUGCAGAAGCAGCUGCGGCUAACUACGUGCCAGCAGCCGCGGUAAUACGUAGGCAAGCAAAGCGUUGUUCGGAGUUACUGGGCGUAAAGGGUGUGUAGGCGGUUCUCUAAGUUUGGUGUGAAAUCUCCCGGCUCAACUGGGAGGGUGCGCCGAAAACUGGGGGGCUAGAGUACUGGAUGGGAGAGUGGAAUUCCUGGUGUAGCGGUGAAAUGCGUAGAUAUCAGGAGGAACACCUGUGGUGUAGACGGCUCUCUGGACAGUAACUGACGCUGAGACACGAAAGCGUGGGUAGCAAACAGGAUUAGAUACCCUGGUAGUCCACGCCCUAAACGAUGCAUAUUUGGUGUGGGUCAUUCAUUUGAUCCGUGCCGGAGCUAACGCGUUAAAUAUGCCGCCUGGGGAGUACGGUCGCAAGGCUGAAACUCAAAGGAAUUGACGGGGGCCCGCACAAGCGGUGGAGCAUGUGGUUCAAUUCGACGCAACGCGAAGAACCUUACCUGGGCUCGAACGGCUCACGAACGUCCUUGGAAACAGGGAUUUCCCGCAAGGGACGGGAGUCGAGGUGCUGCAUGGCUGUCGUCAGCUCGUGUCGCGAGAUGUUGGGUUAAGUCCCGCAACGAGCGCAACCCUUGUCCUGUGUUACCAUGCCGAAAGGCGGCACUCGCAGGAGACCGCCAGCGAUAAGCUGGAGGAAGGUGGGGAUGACGUCAAGUCCUCAUGGCCUUUAUGUCCAGGGCUACACACGUGCUACAAUGGGCGGUACAAAGCGCUGCGAAGCCGCAAGGUGGAGCCAAUCGCAGAAAGCCGCUCUCAGUUCGGAUUGCAGGCUGCAACUCGCCUGCAUGAAGCUGGAAUCGCUAGUAAUGCUAUAUCAGAACGAUAG